CACGGUAAACGAUGGAUGCCCGCUGUUUGCCUUUUUGGUAAGCGGCCAAGCGAAAGCAUUAAGCAUCCCACCUGGGGAGUACGCCGGCAACGGUGAAACUCAAAGGAAUUGACGGGGGCCCGCACAAGCGGAGGAACAUGUGGUUUAAUUCGAUGAUACGCGAGGAACCUUACCCGGGCUUGAACUGCCAGCGAGCGAUACAGAGAUGUUGAGGCCCUUCGGGGCGCUGGUGGAGGUGCUGCAUGGUUGUCGUCAGCUCGUGCCGUGAGGUGUCGGCUUAAGUGCCAUAACGAGCGCAACCCUUCUCUUCAGUUGCCAUCACUUCGGGUGGGCACUCUGGAGACACUGCCACCGUAAGGUGUGAGGAAGGUGGGGAUGACGUCAAAUCAGCACGGCCCUUACGUCCGGGGCUACACACGUGUUACAAUGGCGCGUACAGAGGGCUGGCAUACGGUAACGUGUGUCUAAUCCUUAAAACGCGUCUCAGUUCGGACUGGGGUCUGCAACCCGACC
RNAcentral lists this ribosomal RNA (513 nucleotides) under uncultured bacterium. RNAcentral describes it as "bacterial SSU rRNA". It matches the Rfam family "Bacterial small subunit ribosomal RNA", at positions 798 to 1317 of the family's 1533-position model. The record is from RNAcentral.